GCUUGCUCCUCUGACGUUAGCGGCGGACGGGUGAGUAACACGUGGAUAACCUACCUAUAAGACUGGGAUAACUUCGGGAAACCGGAGCUAAUACCGGAUAAUAUAUUGAACCGCAUGGUUCAAUAGUGAAAGACGGUUUUGCUGUCACUUAUAGAUGGAUCCGCGCCGCAUUAGCUAGUUGGUAAGGUAACGGCUUACCAAGGCAACGAUGCGUAGCCGACCUGAGAGGGUGAUCGGCCACACUGGAACUGAGACACGGUCCAGACUCCUACGGGAGGCAGCAGUAGGGAAUCUUCCGCAAUGGGCGAAAGCCUGACGGAACAACGCCGCGUGAGUGAUGAAGGUCUUCGGAUCGUAAAACUCUGUUAUUAGGGAAGAACAUAUGUGUAAGUAACUGUGCACACCUUGACGGUACCUAAUCAGAAAGCCACGGCUAACUACGUGCCAGCAGCCGCGGUAAUACGUAGGUGGCAAGCGUUAUCCGGAAUUAUUGGGCGUAAAGCGCGCGUAGGCGGUUUUUUAAGUCUGAUGUGAAAGCCCACGGCUCAACCGUGGAGGGUCAUUGGAAACUGGAAAACUUGAGUGCAGAAGAGGAAAGUGGAAUUCCAUGUGUAGCGGUGAAAUGCGCAGAGAUAUGGAGGAACACCAGUGGCGAGGGCGACUUUCUGGUCUGUAACUGACGCUGAUGU
This 689-nucleotide ribosomal RNA is filed under the name uncultured Staphylococcus sp. Its description in RNAcentral is "bacterial SSU rRNA". It matches the Rfam family "Bacterial small subunit ribosomal RNA", at positions 78 to 752 of the family's 1533-position model. The record is from RNAcentral. Lineage: Bacteria; Bacillati; Bacillota; Bacilli; Caryophanales; Staphylococcaceae.